GAAUAUUUGACAAUGGGGGCAACCCUGAUCCAGCGAUACCGCGCGUGUGAAGAAGGUCUUCGGAUUGUAAAGCACUUUAAGGUGGGAGGAAGGGCAGUACGUUAAUACCUUGCUGUUUUCACGUUACCGCCAGAAGAUGCACCGGCUCACUCCGUGCCAGCAGCCGCGGUAAUACGAAGGGUGCAAGCGUUAAUCGGAAUUAGUGGGCGUAAAGGGGGCGUUGGUGGUUUGUUACGUUGGAAGUGACAGCCCCGGGCUCAAGCUGGGAACUGCUUUCAAAGCUGCCAAGCUAGAGUAUGGCAGAGGGUGGUGGAAUUUCCUGUGUAGCGGUGUAAUGCGUAGAUAUAGGGAGGAACACCAGUGGCGAAGGCGACCACCUGGGCUAAUGCUGACACUGAGGUGCGAAAGCGUGGGGAGCAAAC
This 422-nucleotide ribosomal RNA is filed under the name uncultured bacterium. RNAcentral describes it as "partial 16S ribosomal RNA". It matches the Rfam family "Bacterial small subunit ribosomal RNA", at positions 359 to 773 of the family's 1533-position model. The record is from RNAcentral.